UAUCUCUGUAGAGUCUGCAUAUCAAUAAGCGGAGGAAAAGAAACUAACUAGGAUUCCCUCAGUAACGGCGAGUGAAGCGGGAAGAGCUCAAAUUUGAAAUCUUCAAGGUUCUACCUUGACGAAUUGUAGUUUAAAGAAGUGUUUUCUGUUGGAGUUUUGGUAAAAGUUCUUUGGAAUAGGACAUCAUAGAGGGUGAGAAUCCCGUAUUUGACCAUUACUUUCAGCUUUGUGAUACACUUUCAAAGAGUCGGAUUGUUUGGGAAUGCAGUCCAAAAUGGGUGGUAAAUUUCAUCUAAAGCUAAAUAUUGGCGAGAGACCGAUAGCGAACAAGUACCGUGAGGGAAAGAUGAAAAGAACUUUGAAAAGAGAGUUAAACAGUACGUGAAAUUGUCAAAAGGGAAGCGUUUGACACCAGUGUUGUUUUUCUGAAAAUCAAUUAAAGAACUGUUUAUGCUAAGUUGUUUAGACUUUAUCAGCUUACUGUUACUCUUUCUGAGCUUUUCUUUAAUGCACUUUUCAGUUAACAAGUCAACAUCAAUUUCUUUUGCUGUAAAAGAGUCAUUGAGGAAGGUGGCUUGAGACUUCGGUUAAAGUGUUUAUAGCCUUUGGCUUCUGCAAUCGGAGAGAUUGAGGUCUGCAGCGUAGAUCCUUCGGGGCUAGAUACGUAGAUGCUAAGUUAUAGUUUUUUAUAGACAACUUGUUGACUAUGAAUUUAGUCAUUGUAGCUUACUCGCUUAUGCGCUAUUUUACCUACGCUUAGGAUGUUGACGAUCAGCUGAGCGCG
This 784-nucleotide ribosomal RNA is filed under the name uncultured Neocallimastigales. RNAcentral's name for it is "partial large subunit ribosomal RNA". It matches the Rfam family "Eukaryotic large subunit ribosomal RNA", at positions 24 to 648 of the family's 3401-position model. Lineage: Eukaryota; Fungi; Neocallimastigomycota; Neocallimastigomycetes; Neocallimastigales. The record is from RNAcentral.